Molecule: long non-coding RNA, 228 nt
Organism: Drosophila sulfurigaster albostrigata
Lineage: Eukaryota; Metazoa; Arthropoda; Insecta; Diptera; Drosophilidae
Exons: 4
Source: RefSeq, a predicted model, not a curated record
UAGAUCAGUUUUUCAGAUAGAAUCAAGUUCAGUACGUUUUCCGUUUUCUGCGAAGAAUCUCAUAAGUGCGGAGAAUGAACUGGGAUACUGUGUAAUAUAAAACAAAAGUUGUAAAUAUUUAGCACUGAUCUGAUGAAAAGUGGCAUUUAAGAUUGGAUAUUCAAUUUCCAAUCAAAAAUAGGAACACAAAUGCAUUUACAGGAGUCCCACAAGAACGACAGAAAUGUC